UCCGGUGGCAAUGGCAAGAGGGACCCACCCGUUCUCAUCCCGAACACGGAAGUUAAGCCUCUUCGCGCUGAAUGUACUUGGCUGGACACGGCCCGGGAGACGAUGGCGCCGCCGGAU
Molecule: ribosomal RNA, 117 nt
Filed under: Clostridia bacterium
Lineage: Bacteria; Bacillati; Bacillota; Clostridia
Source: RNAcentral